Molecule: transfer RNA, 76 nt
Filed under: Paulownia witches'-broom phytoplasma
Lineage: Bacteria; Bacillati; Mycoplasmatota; Mollicutes; Acholeplasmatales; Acholeplasmataceae
Description: tRNA-Val
Rfam family: tRNA
About the family: Transfer RNA (tRNA) molecules are approximately 80 nucleotides in length. Their secondary structure includes four short double-helical elements and three loops (D, anti-codon, and T loops).
Source: RNAcentral
AGAGGAUUAGCUCAGUUGGGAGAGCGUCUGCCUUACAAGCAGAAUGUCGUGGGUUCAAGUCCCUCAUCCUCUACCA